CCUUUAUUGUGACUGCACUUUCUAUACCAUUCUGUGCUUUGUUUAUCUGUCUGCAUGUCACUUAACAGGCCAACUUCCAUAACAACAAGGGCAAUGUAUCAUGAGGGAUUAGUGCAGAGCUUACCUGCAGCAUGUAUAAAAGAGAUUUGUGCUGAAUUUAUUCACAUUACCAAUAAUGUUCAUAUAACACACUUUAACUAGAUUUUGACCCCUGCAAAAAUAACCCAAAAAUGAAGUCCUCUUUUCCUGUGGCUGAGGCUUGAAACCGAAUCAGAAGCAUAUUGCUCUGGCUUCUCUUCAGUGAAAUUAAAAGAAAAAGGUUCAGUGUAUGAUGGAUGUUUUCAGAGAAAGUACUUGCAUUUUUUAUAAUAUAAUGCCAACUGUAUCACAAUCUCUAUAAAGGUGCAGACCAUGUCCAGCCUAUUUGCCAAUGACACCAUAUUACUACUGCAUGAAAUAACAGAUUCAAGGAAACAAGAAGUAGAUUCAUUCAUUCAUCCAAAACAUACCAAAUGCCUGCAUGUACCAAAUAUUUUUCUAGCCACUGAUGACACAGAGGGGAUUAAGUUCCAGUUCUCUUUGCAACUUAUAUUUCAAGAGGGAAAAAAAAAAAAACAAAGAAGGGAAGGGGCUAGAGACUGAUAGGUGAAAUAGGCUUUGUUUUGUUUUUUGACAGGAUAAAUAAAUUGCCCAUUUAUUGAUCA
Molecule: long non-coding RNA, 704 nt
Filed under: Vulpes vulpes (red fox)
Lineage: Eukaryota; Metazoa; Chordata; Mammalia; Carnivora; Canidae
Description: lncRNA (ENSVVUG00000014256.1)
Source: RNAcentral